UUCACUGGGCUAUAACUGAAUCUAAAAACAAAAAGUGGAAUUCAAGAAACAAAGAUAAGCAAAGAAGAUAGUUAAAUUUACUGAAACUGCAAAAUAAAGCACAGCAAUUUGGGGGAAUAUGAAAAAAGCUCCAGCAUCUCAGAGAAAUUAGGAAAUAAGUAUAACAAGAGGAGGGCAGACAGAACACGUGGCCCAGCUCUUGGCACAUCACCUACAGGCGCAUCAACAGGGAUCUGGAUUACACAUGGAACAGCUGGGACUGAAAUGGGUGCUCUGAUAAGGGAUGCCAGUGACACAGGCAGAGGUGUAACUCUGCCACAAUGCUGCCUUCACGGUAUGUAAUUUACAAAAUUGCUACUAUUUAUUGCUACUAUAAC
Long non-coding RNA from Ochotona princeps (American pika), 377 nucleotides. RefSeq lists it as uncharacterized. The transcript has 3 exons. The record is from RefSeq and is a predicted model, not a curated record. Lineage: Eukaryota; Metazoa; Chordata; Mammalia; Lagomorpha; Ochotonidae.